AGCACUACGACCUGAGUCAGAUUCUAAGAUUGCUUGGGCAAUCAUGACAGACGCAUAAAUAUCGUUAUCUUGACCAAUGCGAUGUGCAUCUUUAGCAAUUGAUUUGACAAAUUGACG
RNAcentral lists this small RNA (117 nucleotides) under Staphylococcus aureus. RNAcentral describes it as "HMPRFS0000_2968". The record is from RNAcentral. Lineage: Bacteria; Bacillati; Bacillota; Bacilli; Caryophanales; Staphylococcaceae.